GAAGCCUUGCUUGCCUCCUCUCUCAUCUUGGAGUAGCUCUCCAUCCCUUGGGCUCCUCCACCACUCUGCCUUUACUCCUAUUGUAGCAUCCUCUGCACUGAGCUGCUUGCCAGCCUCCCCGCUAGAUCCUCGAGGGCUGAGAAAGCAUCUGUGUUAUUCAACUCUGGUUGUGCCUGGCACCCAGGAAGAAUUUAUAGAAUGAAAUAAGAUUCAUGGCUGGGUAUGGU
Molecule: long non-coding RNA, 227 nt
Filed under: Homo sapiens (human)
Lineage: Eukaryota; Metazoa; Chordata; Mammalia; Primates; Hominidae
Description: non-protein coding lnc-ERAL1-4:6
Source: RNAcentral